Molecule: transfer RNA, 70 nt
Filed under: Alphaproteobacteria bacterium
Lineage: Bacteria; Pseudomonadati; Pseudomonadota; Alphaproteobacteria
Description: tRNA-Arg
Rfam family: tRNA (bases 6-59)
About the family: Transfer RNA (tRNA) molecules are approximately 80 nucleotides in length.
Source: RNAcentral
GAGCUGUUAUGUGGGUAACGAUGCCCUCCGAAGGCAGAGGUCACAGGUUCGACUCCUGUCGAGUGCGCCA